AUUGAACGCUGGCGGCAGGCUUAACACAUGCAAGUUGAGCGGGGUGAUGGUGCUUGCACUAUCACUUAGCGGCGGACGGGUGAGUAAUGCUUAGGAAUCUGCCUAUUAGUGGGGGACAACAUCUCGAAAGGGAUGCUAAUACCGCAUACGUCCUACGGGAGAAAGCAGGGGAUCACUUGUGACCUUGCGCUAAUAGAUGAGCCUAAGUCGGAUUAGCUAGUUGGUGGGGUAAAGGCCUACCAAGGCGACGAUCUGUAGGGGGUCUGAGAGGAUGAUCCGCCACACUGGGACUGAGACACGGCCCAGACUCCUACGGGAGGCAGCAGUGGGGAAUAUUGGACAAUGGGGGGAACCCUGAUCCAGCCAUGCCGCGUGUGUGAAGAAGGCCUUAUGGUUGUAAAGCACUUUAAGCGAGGAGGAGGCUCUUUUGGUUAAUACCCAAGAUGAGUGGACGUUACUCGCAGAAUAGCACCGGCUAACUCUGUGCCAGCCGCCGCGGUAA
This 502-nucleotide ribosomal RNA is filed under the name uncultured bacterium. Its description in RNAcentral is "partial 16S ribosomal RNA". It matches the Rfam family "Bacterial small subunit ribosomal RNA", at positions 30 to 523 of the family's 1533-position model. The record is from RNAcentral.